Molecule: ribosomal RNA, 253 nt
Filed under: uncultured prokaryote
Description: partial 16S ribosomal RNA
Rfam family: Bacterial small subunit ribosomal RNA
Source: RNAcentral
ACGUAGGAGACAAACGUUAUCCGGAGUUACUGGGCGUAAAGCGCGUGUAGGCGGUUCGGUAAGUCCGCUGUGAAAGUCGGGGGCUCAACCCUCGAAUGCCGGUGGAUACUGUCGGACUAGAGUACGGAAGAGGCGAGUGGAAUUCCUGGUGUAGCGGUGAAAUGCGCAGAUAUCAGGAGGAACACCAAUUGCGAAGGCAGCUCGCUGGGACGUUACUGACGCUGAGACGCGAAAGCGUGGGGAGCAAACAGGA